Molecule: long non-coding RNA, 444 nt
Organism: Ceratina calcarata
Lineage: Eukaryota; Metazoa; Arthropoda; Insecta; Hymenoptera; Apidae
Exons: 2
Source: RefSeq, a predicted model, not a curated record
GUCGCGUGUUCCCUCUAGUGUCAGUCGUAGCACUCGUAGCUUGGUUGAAGGGAUUUAGGAAAAAUCGAGUCUGUAACGAGGUGGUGUGAUUCGAAUUGUGUCGAAACGACAAGUGACAUUUUGAACUUGUAUAUUAAAUUGACAAACAAUGGCGAGCGACGAGCCGAAGUUAACUGGAAUUUCAAAAUAUUUGAACAGUGUCACUGAUCGCGGCCGUAUGAACGUAGCCGUCUCCGCGCUCACUGGUAUGGCAAUUGCUGGGUUAUAUUUCUGGCUGAAACCGAAACCUAAGAAACAAGAAGCAAAGUGAGACAAAGGUGACAUGCAGUAGAUAUAUUAUGUAAUAAUAAUUUCUGUAUCAUCCUAUUAUCAUUACGAAUAAAGGAAAAUUCAUUUUUCAUGGGCCGUUACUGGUGAACGGUCCAUCGUUUUUAUUACAUAUAC